RNA transcript from Contarinia nasturtii (swede midge), 5562 nucleotides. It is a transcript of the gene named disintegrin and metalloproteinase domain-containing protein 10, with no coding region annotated. The record is from RefSeq and is a predicted model, not a curated record. NCBI's taxonomy places the organism in Eukaryota, Metazoa, Arthropoda, Insecta, Diptera, Cecidomyiidae. The transcript is spliced from 10 exons.
AUGGUAAUAAUAGCAAUAGCAAAAUCUCGUAUAACAAAGACAUUACAAAAAAAAACAACAAACAGAAAACAAAAUCGAUGUUUGAGAGUACAACACAGUAAUCGAAAAUAAAUGUAAUUGGAUUUCUGCAUUUGCGUCCAUUUCGUUUUAGAUUGCGCACAGAGCACGUUUCAUGUGGAUAGCAUAACAAAAAAAAAAGACAACAAAAAACUAAGAGAAACAAAAAACACACGUGAACAGAAGAUAUACACGAUAUCAUCGACAAUAGACCUUUAUACACAGUGAAAAUACGGUGGUGCAGAAAAACCAACGCACAUCAUAUGCAGUGACAGUGAAAUAUAAAGUAAACGCGAGCAAACAUAUGAAGUUAACGAAUCUGACUGAUUUUGUUUGUUCACAUUAUGUGCAUUCAAACCGUUGAAUUUUUUCGCAUGCGACGACAAAAACGGGCCAAACAAUAACGAUUAAAUAAUAUGUUUGUGCAUGAUUUGGAAUCGAUUUCAUCCACCAACAACAACAACAACCACAACAAUAAACAGCAUCAAUCGGUGCAAUUACAAUUUAUCGGCUGCCGACAAUUAAAAACAACGAUUCAAUUGAAACAGUAAUGUAAACAUAAACUACAAGAAAAUAUAAAUGACUCAUCACCGAUACAUAUAUUCAGCUGUAUAAACUCUAUUGUGGCAUUGUGAAUCGAACGAGAAACGAUACCGCUAGUAAAAUUUCAUCAUUGUUGAAAAGAACUGUUUAACAAAAGAGAGAUUCAAAUUCGGUUUUUGAUGCCAAAAACAAAAAGAAAGUGGAAAAGAACCGUGAAUUUUCAGUGUGAAUCAGUGCAAUUUGACUUUUGAAAUUUUGUUUGUUUUUCCAUUUUGUCAUUCAUUGUAUAAUGUUAAAUCAAUAUAUUUUUCAUCGUUAGUUCCAUUGUUCGAUUAGAAUUUUUGUUCUGAACCAAAAAAUUUACGUCUGGUUAAAACGUGCAUUUCUUGUUGUUGUGUUUUUUUGUUCGUUUGUUUACUUUCAUCGUCAUUAUUGUCGUAUCUCUAUUAGUGUAUGUAUGUGUUGGAUGUGUGUGGUACAUCCUAUGCAAUGUUAGAUUGAAAAUCGAAAGAGGAAUCGCAUUGUUUGUGCAUAAAAGUGGAUAAAAAAGACCAAACUGCAUUCGUAAAUAUAUAGUUAUUUCGGUGCAUGGCCAAACUUUCAAUCUCGCUUCAAGUUGACGACGACGACGACCACGACGCAUCGAGAGUUUUUCAUCUCAUUGGCAAAAAAAUUACAAAUAGAUAGUAACGGAACAGUGACGACGACGACGACGACUGGAAAAAAGAAAGUACGUGUUGGUGCUGUGCAAGUGAAGGGCAAAAAAUGACACCGAAAUGUGGAUGGAUUCUAUUUUUAGUGUUGUUCGUACCAAAUUACAUAGAAACUGGUUCGGUGAAAAAUCUGGGAGGAAACCUGAACGAAUACAUAUCACAUUAUGAAACGUUAAACUAUGAUCAUCACCAGAUUCAUGCUAGUCAUAGUAGAGCAAAACGUUCGGUUACCAAAGAUCCAUACGUUUUUUUAAAGUUUCGUGCACACAAUCGACCAUUUCACCUUAGACUAAAACGUGAUGUAGAUACAUUUAGCGAUAAUUUAGUGGUGGAUACACCAAACGGUGAAUUACCGUAUGUUGAUACAUCGCAUAUAUAUCAUGGUCAUGUGUUGGGCGAUCCGCACAGUCAUGUGUUCGGUUCGUUACACGAUGGUGUGUUCGAAGGUAAAAUUUUAACCGAAAAUAAUGCAUACUAUGUGGAGCAUGCAAAACGAUAUUUUCCAAAUCGAACACAUCUUGAUUAUGGAUUCCAUUCGGUUAUUUACAAUGAACGGGAUGUGGUCGAUGAUCCAUUUGCUCACAAACGAAAACACGGCCAUGUAAAUGGAUGUGGUAUCAACGAAGAUAUUUCACAAUGGAUGGAAAGCGUACAAAAUGCAGCCACCGAUGAUGAAAACGAUGACAACGAAAACGUUGUCGACGAUAGCAAAAAUAAUAUACCACCUCAACCAGUAAAUUUAAAUGCAAACAAAUCGACGGCAAAAUAUGCGACAAAUGCUAAGCAAAAAGUUAAACAAAAUCAAAACUCCAUUUUCGAGGAUGACAAAUCACCGCAUUUCAAGUAUACAAAAGAAGCUAAUUUUGAGUAUGAUGGCGCAAAUGGCAAUAAAAAGAGGGAACGUGUUAAGCGAGCCGCACGACCGAAGGAGGAUAAUCGAAAUACGUGCUCGUUAUACAUUCAAACCGAUCCACUCAUUUGGCGGCACAUUCGUGAAGGCAUUGCCGAUCAUGACCGUAGCCGAAAAUCAGAAAUUGAUGAAAAAACGCGCGAAGAAAUUUUGUCGUUGAUCGCACAUCAUGUCACAGCCGUCAAUUACAUCUAUCGCAAUACAAAAUUUGACGGACGAUUUGAACAUCGAAACAUUCGAUUUGAGGUUCAACGAAUUAAAAUUGACGAUGAUUCAGCAUGCAGUGAAUCGUACAGUGGUGAUAUAAAUCCGUUCUGCAUGGAAAAUAUUGACGUAUCAAAUUUUCUAAAUCUACAUUCAUUGGGCAAUCAUGAAUUCUUUUGUCUUGCCUAUGUGUUCACAUACCGUGAUUUUACGGGCGGUACAUUGGGAUUAGCUUGGGUUGCUUCAGCUUCAGGAGCUUCUGGUGGAAUUUGUGAAAAAUACAAAACUUAUACCGAAACUGUUGGCGGUCUAUACCAAAGUACGAAACGUUCUUUAAACACCGGAAUCAUAACAUUUGUGAAUUACAAUAGUCGAGUACCACCAAAAGUGUCACAAUUAACGUUAGCACAUGAAAUCGGACACAAUUUUGGUUCACCGCACGAUUAUCCACAAGAUUGUCGUCCGGGCGGUUUAAGUGGCAACUAUAUAAUGUUUGCCAGCGCAACGAGCGGUGAUCGGCCGAAUAAUAGUAAAUUUUCAACGUGUUCCAUUCGAAAUAUCUCAAAUGUGUUAGAUGCAAUCGAAGACAGUAAAAAGCGAAACUGUUUCACAGCAUCGGAAGGUGCAUUUUGUGGCAAUAAAAUUGUCGAAAUUGGUGAAGAAUGUGAUUGUGGUUUUAACGAUGAUGAAUGUCAGGAUAAAUGUUGUUAUCCACGAUUGAUAAGCGAUGCUGAUAUGAGCGUAAAUGCAAGUGCUCGCGGUUGUACACGUCGUGCAUACACACAAUGUAGCCCAAGUCAAGGGCCAUGUUGUUUGAGUGAAAAAUGUAUGUUUGUACCGGCACAUUAUCAUCAGAAAUGCAAAGAAGAGAGUGAAUGUUCAUGGAGUUCAAUGUGCAAUGGCACAACACCUGAAUGUCCAGAACCAAAACCACGUGAUGAUAAAACGAAAUGUAACAACGGAACACAAUUAUGUAUUCGUGGUGAAUGUUCGGGUUCAAUAUGCCUAUUAUGGAAUAUGACUGAGUGCUUCCUAACAACACAGGCCACAGGCCAAAACAUCGAUAAACGAAGAUUAUGCGAACUUGCGUGCCAAAAUGGCAACGAUACAAAUACGUGCCGAAGUACAAGCGAAUUUGGCACCGAAGUUGGGCUUCCACCAGAAGGUAUAAGUUUGCGACCCGGUUCACCGUGUGAUAAUUUCCAAGGUUAUUGCGAUGUAUUCCUAAAAUGUCGCGCCAUUGAUGCCGAAGGACCACUUGCUCGUUUGAAGAAUUUAUUGUUCAACAAACAUACAUUAAAUACGGUUCAACAAUGGGUCACUGACUAUUGGUAUAUUUGCGUAUUAUUUGCCAUCAUUUUCAUAAUUAUAAUGGGAAUAUUCAUAAAAUGUUGUGCCGUGCACACGCCAAGCUCAAAUCCGAAGAGACCACCGGCCAGACGUUUUUCAGAAACACUUCGACGACCGAUGCACACUUUACGAAGAAUGCGGCAUCAUGGUGGACAUCAUCGAUAUCCAGCUGGUCCGCGGAGUAUACCACCGUCACGAAGUUCAGGCGAUGAAAGUUUUGGUCACGUGAGCAGAAAUGCUAGUCGAAGCCAUCAUGCACCAUCGCAUAAUGGUUCGCGAAAUAGUCAUCCGAGUCGAAAUGUCGAUCCCCGGCGACAGCAUCAUUCAUCAGGUGGUAGCAACGGUGCAAUUGGUAGUAGACCAUCCAGUGGUUCACGUUCAGCAUCAGCCGGCCAUCAUGGGUAUGAUCAAGGAGGUCAGCAACAAAAUUCAUAUAAAGCCGUCAUGUACAAGCCAAUCCCAGAUAAGAAAGCACGAAUCCAAAUGCAGCAAUUUAGCUAAUUGUAGUUCAAUCGUAGCUAAAUUUUAUCUUCGUUUGGUCCCCCACAAUUCUUGAUUUUAAACAUUCCAUUUGGCUAUUAUGUACAUUUCACACAAAAAUACUCAAAAGAAAACGCGUCGAUCUACCAGCAGUAAACUAUAGGAUGAGUCCCGAAACAUAGAUUAACUCGUUUGUGUGUAUGUGCAAAUCAACAAACAAUUCAUAAAUGCAUACAUCCUUUUGCGACUUCAUUGCAUCACAAAAUAGACUAUAUAUUAGAUACAACGGUUGAAACUCUAGUGGAAACCGUAUGAUUUAAUUGAAUGAAAAGAGAAAAUAAGAUAUACUUUAUAAAUUAUAGAGGAAAGAAACAAAUGUUCUAUUUUUAAUUUGACAAUUUAAGUUUUCUGUGAUUCCAAUUUAGUAUGAGGAGAGAAAUUGAAAUGAAGACAAGUUCAAGAGGUCAAUGUAUUGUCGAAUACGUUAUUAAAAUGAGCAUAUGAUACACAGUCUCAAAAUGGACGAAGAGAUGACAUCAGUUUUGUAUGCGCUUGAAUAAGAAUUGAUUGCGUCGUUAUUCAAAUCAAAAGUCCAUUUAUUUCGUUCAAAAUCAUGGCACAAUCCUAUACAUUGCACGCAUCAAUUGUUUAUGUGCAUACGAAACGAUGUUAAUUUCUCUUCUGCCAUAACAAUCAGGCCUUUAUUUAAUCAAACUUGCGAACACACUCGAAAUAUAUAGUGAAAAAUAUAGCCAAACACAAUAUGCUGAACUGCGAAAAACGAAAGCAAAGAAGAAGAAGAAAAAAAUGGUAAAAAGCCCACAUAUACUGCAAGCAUAAAACUCAUUUUUUCUGUGUAUAAAAAUAAAAACUAAAUGAUAACAUGAAUGUUACAAUUGUAAAGAAUAUAUUCGAACUCCGUACGAAAACUAAGUUUAUGGAGGAAAAAAAAUGACAAAUAAUGAAAUGAGAUAAAAUAUCGUAAUGGUAGGGACACAUUUAAAAUGUAUAUGUAAUACGUCUCAGAUCAAUAUUUACACAAACUGAUUUCGAUAGAAACAUAAAUUUCAAUACAUACACUGUCUGAAAGUAUUUCUAGUGUGUAAUUGAAAGAAAUAAAAACAGAACAAAAAAAAAGUAUUACAGAAUUAGUUAGGAUAAUAUUUUUAUAAUAAACGGACAUAUUCGGUUAUUAGUGAGAAAGACAAUUAAGUGAAAUUAAGAAUUGAUUUAAUCGAGAAAGAGAGAAAUGAUUAAAGUGAUCAAAAUCAAAUUUCAACUGGCAAGAAAAUUUAGUAAAAUUCA